GGCUGAAGCACUUUUUGUGGCAAUUAGUUCUUAUGCUUUUGGAGCUUUAUCGGCAGCAGGUGGAUUGCUUUAUGCAAUCAAAGCUUACAAGAAUUAUAGGGCCAUGCGUGAGGAGGUUAAAAUAUGUGCUGCCUGUGGGAAGGAAGUGAAGAUUAUGCUGUCCGAAGAGCAUAUUGAAGAACAUAGAGUUGACCAAGCACGGGGAAAUGAAGGCGACCCAACACUAUGUGGAGUUGACGAUAAACUGCUGCUGUGGUAGGGCUAGAAUAAUAUGGUGCAUCGUGGCGAGAGAAAAACAAGACGAGGCCAGUCCUAGAAGAAGAAGAAAAAAAUGCAAUAAAUGAAGUCAUGGUGAUUCGAACUGUUGUCCGUGUUCUUUUUUGCAGAUAUCGAUAUCUUAGCAUGCUUCUGAAACAGAUGAUGUUUGCCACUUGUGAAAUAGCUAGAUAGCUUUGAGAGAUGGUAGUUCAUGUGGAGAUUUAAUUUACUUGGUUAUGGUACACUUGGUGAUGUUCCUUUUUACUCCC
Long non-coding RNA from Triticum dicoccoides, 527 nucleotides. RefSeq lists it as uncharacterized. NCBI's taxonomy places the organism in Eukaryota, Viridiplantae, Streptophyta, Magnoliopsida, Poales, Poaceae. The record is from RefSeq and is a predicted model, not a curated record. The transcript is spliced from 3 exons.